This 301-nucleotide ribosomal RNA is filed under the name uncultured bacterium. Its description in RNAcentral is "partial 16S ribosomal RNA". It matches the Rfam family "Bacterial small subunit ribosomal RNA", at positions 509 to 809 of the family's 1533-position model. The record is from RNAcentral.
CAGUAGCCGCGGUAAUACAGAGGGUGCAAGCGUUAAUCGGAAUUACUGGGCGUAAAGCGCGCGUAGGUGGUUUGUUAAGUUGAAUGUGAAAUCCCCGGGCUCAACCUGGGAACUGCAUCCAAAACUGGCAAGCUAGAGUAGGGCAGAGGGUGGUGGAAUUUCCUGUGUAGCGGUGAAAUGCGUAGAUAUAGGAAGGAACACCAGUGGCGAAGGCGACCACCUGGGCUCAUACUGACACUGAGGUGCGAAAGCGUGGGUAGCAAACAGGAUUAGAUACCCGCGUAGUCCCUGUCUCUUAUAU